RNAcentral lists this ribosomal RNA (384 nucleotides) under uncultured bacterium. RNAcentral's name for it is "bacterial SSU rRNA". It matches the Rfam family "Bacterial small subunit ribosomal RNA", at positions 30 to 416 of the family's 1533-position model. The record is from RNAcentral.
AUUGAACGCUGGCGGCAUGCCUUACACAUGCAAGUCGAACGGCAGCACGGGAGCAAUCCUGGUGGCGAGUGGCGAACGGGUGAGUAAUAUAUCGGAACGUGCCCAGUCGUGGGGAUAACGUAGCGAAAGCUACGCUAAUACCGCAUACGAUCUAUGGAUGAAAGCGGGGGAUCGCAAGACCUCGCGCGAUUGGAGCGGCCGAUAUCAGAUUAGGUAGUUGGUGAGGUAAAGGCUCACCAAGCCGACGAUCUGUAGCUGGUCUGAGAGGACGACCAGCCACACUGGGACUGAGACAGGCCCAGACUCCUACGGGAGGCGAGCAGUGGGGAAUUUUGGACAAUGGGCGCAAGCUGAUCCAGCAAUGCCGCGUGCAGGAUGAAGGCC